This 349-nucleotide ribosomal RNA is filed under the name uncultured Gammaproteobacteria bacterium. RNAcentral describes it as "LSU rRNA". It matches the Rfam family "Bacterial large subunit ribosomal RNA", at positions 1612 to 1897 of the family's 2925-position model. Lineage: Bacteria; Pseudomonadati; Pseudomonadota; Gammaproteobacteria. The record is from RNAcentral.
GAAAAACUUCUAAGCAUCAGGUCAUAAGGGACCGUACCCCAAACCGACACAGGUGGUCAGGUAGAGAAUACCAAGGCGCUUGAGAGAACUCGGGUGAAGAACUAGGCAAAAUGGCACCGUAACUUCGGGAGAAGGUGCGCCGGCGACGGUGAAGGGCUUGCCCCGUAAGCUGUUGCUGGUCGAAGAUACCAGGUGGCUGCGACUGUUUAUUAAAAACACAGCACUGUGCCAACACGAAAGUGGACGUAUACGGUGUGACGCCUGCCCGGUGCCGGAAGGUUAAUUGAUGGGGUUAUCUCACCUCCAGAUUGCUUUUGCUGCACAGAUAAUUGCUCCUGCAUUAUCUGCA